Pelobates cultripes (western spadefoot toad) is the source of this 156-nucleotide non-coding RNA. The record is from the annotation of a GenBank genome assembly. NCBI's taxonomy places the organism in Eukaryota, Metazoa, Chordata, Amphibia, Anura, Pelobatidae.
GCAGACACAUUCCAGCCAAUCAGCAGCAGACCCUCCCUCCCAGACCCUCCCACCUCCUGGACAGCAUCACUAAGAAGCUGCAUUCUUAGUGAGCUGUCCAGGAGGUGGGAGGGUCUGGGAGGGAGGGUCUGCUGCUGAUUGGCUGGAAUGUGUCUG